GUGAAGAACGUAGCGAAAUGCGAUAAGUAGUGUGAAUUGCAGAAUUCAGUGAAUCAUCGAAUCUUUGAACGCACAUUGCGGCCAUAGGUAUUCCUUUGGCCAUGCCUGUUCGAGCGUCAUUUACACCCUCAAGCCUAGCUUGGUGUUGGGCGUCUGUCCCGCCGUUCUCGCGCGCGGACUCGCCUCAAAGUCAUUGGCGGCGGUCGUGCCGGCCCCCUCGCGCAGCACAUUUGCGCUUCUCGGAGGCCCGGCGGAUCCGCGCUCCAGCAAGACCUUUCACGACUUGACCUCGGAUCAGGUAGGGAUACCCGCUGAACUUAAGCAUAUCAAUAAGCGGAGGA
This 341-nucleotide unclassified non-coding RNA is filed under the name soil metagenome. Its description in RNAcentral is "partial contains 5.8S ribosomal RNA, internal transcribed spacer 2, and large subunit ribosomal RNA". The stretch from base 2 to 119 matches the Rfam family "5.8S ribosomal RNA", at positions 37 to 154 of the family's 154-position model. The record is from RNAcentral.